This is a non-coding RNA of Sander lucioperca (pikeperch), 505 nucleotides long. The record is from the annotation of a RefSeq genome assembly. NCBI's taxonomy places the organism in Eukaryota, Metazoa, Chordata, Actinopteri, Perciformes, Percidae.
UGUGGCUGUUUUUUGUUCAAACUUUAAAACUCUAAACUUGUAUGCAGUUGGAGGUUGAGGACCUCAGCCGUUAAGAGGCCAGUGUUGAUCAGUGGCUGUCCAGGCCUUUCAGAGACACUGGCACGCAGGCAGCACAAUGAUGAUGUCACUGACUCUACUGCUGACCACCCUGGGGCUCCUUGUUCAGGGUUCAUCAGGACAAAUCAUCCUGACUCAGUCUCCUGGAUCUCAGUCUGUUGUUCCACGACAGACUGUCUCUAUCAGAUGUAAAACCAGUACAGAUGUUAGUAUCUAUCUCAGCUGGUACCUUCAGAAAUCUGGAGAAGCUCCUAAACUCCUGAUUUAUGAGGCUACAACCCGUCAGUCUGGAGUUUCAGAUCGUUUUACUGGAAGUGGUUCUGGGACUGACUUCACUCUGACCAUCAGAGGAGUCGAGGCUGAAGAUUCAGGAGUUUACUACUGUCAGCAGGGUUACACACCAAUCACACAGUGAUACAACGUCGUA